RNAcentral lists this ribosomal RNA (460 nucleotides) under uncultured bacterium. Its description in RNAcentral is "partial 16S ribosomal RNA". It matches the Rfam family "Bacterial small subunit ribosomal RNA", at positions 338 to 795 of the family's 1533-position model. The record is from RNAcentral.
CCUACGGGUGUCAGCAGUGAGGAAUAUUGGUCAAUGGGCGCAAGCCUGAACCAGCCAAGUCGCGUGAGGGAAGACGGCCCUACGGGUUGUAAACCUCUUUUGCCGGGGAGCAAGCCUGAGCACGUGUGCCCAGGCGGAGAGUACCCGGAGAAAAAGCAUCGGCUAACUCCGUGCCAGCAGCCGCGGUAAUACGUAGGGAGCGAGCGUUGUCCGGAAUUACUGGGUGUAAAGGGAGCGUAGGCGGGACUGCAAGUUGGGUGUCAAAUCUACCGGCUCAACCGGUAGCCGCACUCAAAACUGCAGUUCUUGAGUGAAGUAGAGGCAGGCGGAAUUGCUAGUGUAGCGGGGAAAUGCGUAGAUAUUAGGAGGAACACCAGUGGCGAAGGCGGCCUGCUGGGCUUUUACUGACGCUGAGGCUCGAAAGUGUGGGGAGCAAACAGGAUUAGAUACCCCAGUAGUC